UAUUGUAGGUCCUUGAAAGAGGAUCUAUGUUUUUCAUAUCACACCCAUCGUAUGUCUAUAGAAUGUAUUGAAAUAAUAAAUCAUACAACUUUCAGCAACGGAUCUCUUGGCUCUCGCAUCGAUGAAGAACGCAGCGAAUUGCGAUAAGUAAUGUGAAUUGCAGAUUUUCAGUGAAUCAUCGAAUCUUUGAACGCACCUUGCGCUCCUUGGUAUUCCGAGGAGCAUGCCUGUUUGAGUGUCAUUGAAUCCCUCAAACCCAUGUCUUGAUUUUCAUGGGCUUUGGACUUGGGGGCUGCUGGUGGCAAAAGCUGUCAGCUCUCCUCAAAUGCAUUAGCAAAGGACUAGCAAGUCUCUGACGUGCACGGCCUUCGAUGUGAUAAUGAUCGUCGUGGCUGGAGCGUUGGACAUGCAGGAAUCGUCCGUGCUUCCAAUCCUGGGCUAGCCUCGAGUUUGGUCGCUCAGCUAUUAGUUCGGUCGCAAGGCCAACGAACAUUGGGCAGGCCGAGCUCAGGCUUGUCUUUCUUUGAAACUUGACCUCAAAUCAGGUAGGACUACCCGCUGAACUUAAGCAUAUCAAUAAGCGGAGGAAAAGAAACUAACAAGGAUUCCCCUAGUAACUGCGAGUGAAGCGGGAAGAGCUCAAAUUUUAAAUCUGGCAGUCUCU
Molecule: ribosomal RNA, 664 nt
Filed under: Exsudoporus frostii
Lineage: Eukaryota; Fungi; Basidiomycota; Agaricomycetes; Boletales; Boletaceae
Description: eukaryotic LSU rRNA
Rfam family: 5.8S ribosomal RNA (bases 87-241)
Source: RNAcentral